ACAAAGUAACAAAUCAGACAAAAGGUCACGGCUGAAAAUAAGUGAUAAUUAACUCAAAUUGAUACUAUUAAACAAACACUUCAAACUUAAAGGGUUCAUGAAUAUGGAAUUGGUUCAUGUCUAGUUGCAAGACUAUUUAUACUACUCAUAAUUUACAACUCAAAGCAAGGUUUCUAAAAACAGCCCCAAUUUGAUCCCGCAAUUACAUGAAUAGCUAAUUACAUGAAUAUCUAAGCUGGACAUUUUAAAAGCUAAUAACUAACAAAAUGAACAAGUAACAAUUUAUCCUUAUGGAUUCUUCAAGUUCCUUAUACAUAGGAAUCUAAUUUCACAUCUGGUUACGAAAGUGUACCUGGAAAUGAAACACAAUAAAGAAGGAAGAGGAUGAUCAGCAGAGAAACAGUAGUAUACAACAACAGCAACAACCAGCAACAAAGUAAACAGGAUAGCCCAGUCGUAUAUUAAAAACCAACAGAAGUCCAACAAAAUCCAAUGAAAUAGUAGCAAACAACCAAAUAGCCAAACUCAGAAGCAACCAACUGACACCUCAGAAAUACCAAUCAACAAAAACAAUGAAGCAGUAACAGUAACAAAUACUAAUUUCAGUAGUAAAGAAGCAACUUUCUUUAUUUCUUUAACUCUCAAAAUAACUGAACUCUUGGAUUAAAAAUCCAGCCUAUUUUUUUUACUCUCUAAGUCUGACUUCUCCAGAUUAAAAGCCAAUCUAAAAACUUAUCCUCCAUUUUUUAUUCUCAAUACUCACUUUUUUAAAACUGAUCCUCUUAGAUUUUUUAAAAGCUCCCACUUCUUUUUUUUAUGUCUCUACUCAUCUCUUUAUUUAAACCCAAACUUUAACCCUUUUCAGCCCUUCUUUUUUUUUUUUACAGUUGUAAAAAAAAACCUUUUAUUAUUAUCCUUCCUUUUUACUUUCCAGCUUUUUAUUCCCUCCCCACAUGCACUAUUUUAUCUUUUUCAUUAUUAUUCCCUUCUUUUUACUUUCAAAGCUCAUUUUUCCUUUAUUUACAUCAUAAUGUCUUAUUUCCCACUACUCUUAAAUAAUUGCAACAAUUUAUUGGUCCAUUAGUUCUUCCUGAUAGAAUAUUCAACUAAACAUUAUUAAACUAUUAAAUCCCAAAAUACCCCUGAAACUACUGAAAUUUACUGUCCUACCCCCUCCCCUUUCAGUUUGUACCAAAAACUCAGCUAUAACCAAUUCAACUAAUCAAAUUCACAGUAUAUCAAAACUCAAAUUAGCUUACAUAGCAUCUGAUCAGAGUGGAAUGGAUAAUCAUAUUGGGAACCAAUCCUGAUCAACCCAUACCAAAUGAACGAGUAAGGAGUCAAUAACACAAGUAGAACUGGAAUCAACUAGAUGAUCAUACAUCUAAUUGAAUUGGAAAACAAAGAAGAAACAAGCAUAACAGUUUUAAGGGGAUUGACAUACACAUGACUAAUCAAUUUAGUUCAAUGAGAUGGACUGAAUAUACUAACAUGCUCAAUUCUAAGUUCAAGCAUAUCAACCAUUUCAUUUUCAACAUGAAAUUAGAACAGAAAAGAAGCAGGAUGGGAAACCUACUUGAAUGUACCAAAACUAUUAUUACGUUAAUAACAUUCAAGCAAAACAGACUAAUCGACGAUACUUAUUCAAUCGAUUACACAUGCCAAAAUAUACAACAAUUAACGACAAACAAUCAAUACAAACCAAAGGUGAUUUGUGUGGCAUCUAACAGAAAUAGAGAGUUAUAAUACAACUUAACUAAUCGAUGAAACAAUUCAAACAAACGAUUUCCUAAUUCACAACAUAUAAUUACAAGGAACACAAUAGUUGGCCUAAAUAAAAAUGUCUAAUGGAGUAGAAGAAUUAUUGAACAAACAAAAAAAUGAACAGAAAAUUAAUACAAUGACCCCUAAACAAAUAAAAAAUAACAAAUAACCAAAUAGAACAAACUAAAGAAAGGAAAAAUACCUUAAAGAAAUCAGAAAUCAGACGGACUUGACCAAUCUCAAACUUGAACUUUUUGAUGUCAAACGGACCUUAAUCAAGUGUUCUCGAUUGAGAACACUAGACUAAGGUCAUUUAAAACCCCAGAUUCCUCUUAAUUUCGGACGAAAUCCCAAUUUUGGUUUUCUAGGGUUCUAUGGUUCAAAUUGGGAUUUGAACGAUUCUAAAAUGAUUUUAACCGAGCUAAUGGUGUUUGGGGUAUGAGGGAGGUCAGUGGGUGGAGUGGUGUGAGUCUGGAGUGGAUUGGGUUCGGCGCCGCCACUAGGGGAUCUUGUGGCGGCGCUAGGGUUCUUGGUUGUAAUUCAAUAUUGGAGAGAACCCAGGUUGAUUCGAAGGAAAUUAAGGGUGGUUAUAAGAUGAGAGAGGUCAGGGGGUCAAGGGGUGUUGAUUUGGUGGCCAUCGGAGAAGGUUAGGUUUUGGCCGAUUUUCGAUUAAAAAUUCGAGGAGCUUCGUUAGGUUUUGAGGAAGGCUGUUUGGAUGGUUGAAAUGAGGAGGUUAAGGUGAGUUUAGACUGUGAAAAUGGAGGAGUUUGGCCUACCAGAACCAUCGUGAGGCGAUUUCCGAUGGCAGAGCAUGGUGGUUGACGGCGGAGGGUGGUGAGCUUGUGUUUAGGUCAGAGACGAAUGCGGGGGUAUGGCUUAG
RNAcentral lists this long non-coding RNA (2644 nucleotides) under Nicotiana benthamiana. RNAcentral describes it as "long non-coding RNA (NBEN_LNC009646)". The record is from RNAcentral. Lineage: Eukaryota; Viridiplantae; Streptophyta; Magnoliopsida; Solanales; Solanaceae.